GGGGGUCUGGCCCUGACAUCAUCAACAUCUGGAGGACCCAGGUGUUCAUGUGUCCAAUUCUGAUGUUGCCCAACAUCUGGAGGACCCAGGUGUUUGGGGGUCCGGCCCUGAUCUCAACAUCUGGAGGACCCAGGUGUUGAGGGAUCCGGCCCUGAUCUCAUCAACAUCUGGAGGACCGAGGGGUUGGGGGUCCGGCCC
Corvus hawaiiensis (hawaiian crow) is the source of this 198-nucleotide long non-coding RNA. RefSeq lists it as uncharacterized. The transcript has 3 exons. NCBI's taxonomy places the organism in Eukaryota, Metazoa, Chordata, Aves, Passeriformes, Corvidae. The record is from RefSeq and is a predicted model, not a curated record.